AUGGGAAGAGGCGGCCAAGUCUAACACAUUGCAAGUCGAGCGGAUGAAGGGAGCUUGCUCCUGGAUUCAGCGGCGGACGGGUGAGUAAUGCCUAGGAAUCUGCCUGGUAGUGGGGGAUAACGUCCGGAAACGGGCGCUAAUACCGCAUACGUCCUGAGGGAGAAAGUGGGGGAUCUUCGGACCUCACGCUAUCAGAUGAGCCUAGGUCGGAUUAGCUAGUUGGUGGGGUAAAGGCCUACCAAGGCGACGAUCCGUAACUGGUCUGAGAGGAUGAUCAGUCACACUGGAACUGAGACACGGUCCAGACUCCUACGGGAGGCAGCAGUGGGGAAUAUUGGACAAUGGGCGAAAGCCUGAUCCAGCCAUGCCGCGUGUGUGAAGAAGGUCUUCGGAUUGUAAAGCACUUUAAGUUGGGAGGAAGGGCAGUAAGUUAAUACCUUGCUGUUUUGACGUUACCAACAGAAUAAGCACCGGCUAACUUCGUGCCAGCAGCCGCGGUAAUACGAAGGGUGCAAGCGUUAAUCGGAAUUACUGGGCGUAAAGCGCGCGUAGGUGGUUCAGCAAGUUGGAUGUGAAAUCCCCGGGCUCAACCUGGGAACUGCAUCCAAAACUACUGAGCUAGAGUACGGUAGAGGGUGGUGGAAUUUCCUGUGUAGCGGUGAAAUGCGUAGAUAUAGGAAGGAACACCAGUGGCGAAGGCGACCACCUGGACUGAUACUGACACUGAGGUGCGAAAGCGUAAGGGAGCAAACAGGAUUAGAUACCCUGGUAGUCCACGCCGUAAACGAUGUCGACUAGCCGUUGGGAUCCUUGAGAUCUUAGUGGCGCAGCUAACGCGAUAAGUCGACCGCCUGGGGAGUACGGCCGCAAGGUUAAAACUCAAAUGAAUUGACGGGGGCCCGCACAAGCGGUGGAGCAUGUGGUUUAAUUCGAAGCAACGCGAAGAACCUUACCUGGCCUUGACAUGCUGAGAACUUUCCAGAGAUGGAUUGGUGCCUUCGGGAACUCAGACACAGGUGCUGCAUGGCUGUCGUCAGCUCGUGUCGUGAGAUGUUGGGUUAAGUCCCGUAACGAGCGCAACCCUUGUCCUUAGUUACCAGCACCUCGGGUGGGCACUCUAAGGAGACUGCCGGUGACAAACCGGAGGAAGGUGGGGAUGACGUCAAGUCAUCAUGGCCCUUACGGCCAGGGCUACACACGUGCUACAAUGGUCGGUACAAAGGGUUGCCAAGCCGCGAGGUGGAGCUAAUCCCAUAAAACCGAUCGUAGUCCGGAUCGCAGUCUGCAACUCGACUGCGUGAAGUCGGAAUCGCUAGUAAUCGUGAAUCAGAAUGUCACGGUGAAUACGUUCCCGGGCCUUGUACACACCGCCCGUCACACCAUGGGAGUGGGUUGCUCCAGAAGUAGCUAGUCUAACCGCAAGGGGGACGGUAAUUCCAU
Molecule: ribosomal RNA, 1440 nt
Filed under: Pseudomonas aeruginosa
Lineage: Bacteria; Pseudomonadati; Pseudomonadota; Gammaproteobacteria; Pseudomonadales; Pseudomonadaceae
Description: bacterial SSU rRNA
Rfam family: Bacterial small subunit ribosomal RNA
Source: RNAcentral